CAGUAGCCGCGGUAAUACGUAGGGUGCAAGCGUUGAUCGGAAUUACUGGGCGUAAAGCGUGCGCAGGCGGUCCGCUAAGACAGAUGUGAAAUCCCGGGGCCUAACCUGGGAACUGCAUUUGUGACUGGCGGGCUAGAGUAUGGCAGAGGGGGGUAGAAUUCCACGUGUAGCAGUGAAAUGCGUAGAGAUGUGGAGGAAUACCGGUGGCGAAGGCAGCCCCCUGGGCCAAUACUGACGCUCAUGCACGAAAGCGUGGGGAGCAAACAGGAUUAGAUACCCCUGUAGUCCCUGUCUCUUAUAC
Molecule: ribosomal RNA, 301 nt
Filed under: uncultured bacterium
Lineage: Bacteria
Description: partial 16S ribosomal RNA
Rfam family: Bacterial small subunit ribosomal RNA
Source: RNAcentral